GAAAAGAAAGCUUAGUGCACUGUUAGCUGAUCAUAGAUUUUUCCUUUGGCUUAAAGUAGUUCCUGAUCAUAGUCUCAAGUCUUAUUGAGUCAGAUUUAUAGCUUUAUGCAUUUCACUUCUUUUAAGCAUCAGUAAUUCUGAGUUAGAGGAUUGUAAGAGUUCAUGGAGAAUACUAGUCAUAGUCCAAAAUGAAUAAGUGAAAUGGAUGCCUAGAAGACAGCAUGAUUUUCUCUAUCAAAGAUACCCCAGAUGAACCAUUUGUGCCCCUGCUGCUGCUGCUGCUGCUGAGUUGCUUCAGUCGUGUCUGACUCUGUGCGACCCCAUAGACGGCAGCCCACCAGGCUCCCCCAUCCCUGGGAUUCUCCAGGCAAGAACAUUGGAGUGGGUUGCCAUUUCUGCACCAGAUAUCAGCUUCCUUGUCUUCUGAGUUACAAUUAAUCUCUUCCCUCUUCGCAGCCUCAGAUUUCUUUCUCUAUUGGACGAUUAUUAUUAGCAUACAAACAUGCUGCUAGUCCUUCUACCUGAAAAGAACCCUUGCUUGGUUAGACUUUUAUCUCCAGCUAAUACCCUGUUUAUUUUCUUUAUUAACAGCAAAGCUCCUCAACAGAAUUUCCUAAUCUUUCCUCACUCAGUGAUAACUCUUACUCUAUGUAUGUAUUCUUGUGAACCCAUUUAAAUCCAAUACUCAACAUGCAGAACUGCUGAACACAAUGGAACUUUAAAAGGCAUAUCUGUGGGCAUUAAAUCUCAUUGUAAAUUUUAUAAAAAAUGUUAACAAAUUGCUUUGUUUAUAAUUGAGGGUUACUUUCAAAAUUCCGGAAAUUGCUUGACUGCUCAACUUGGUUAGUUUCUAAUGGCUGUUAAGCCAAUCAGUAGACAGUACAUAGAGAUAUCUAGAGACUGAUUUCAUUUUCCUACAGUAGGAUAUACAUAUGUCUGUCAUGUUAAGUCAGGUAAAGAAUGCAUGGAGACUAAAUGGGAAACUAUUUAAUGAAGUUUUUGUUUCCAUUGAAAAUUAAGUUAAGAGAUUCUGCCAAUGUUUUAAUUAAAAAUGAAAAUGGUGAGUGUACCUAAACUGUUACAGAUUACUCACUUGAGUCUCCUAUGUUCAUCUGGUAACAAAUCUAAACUAUUCUCUGUCAUGAGAAAGGAUGAACAACAUCUGAAAAGUUGCAUUCAUUCAAUGAGUAUAUAUUGAUUACUUAUUAGGUGCUGACUGUACAGAGAUGGCAUGAUAUGAUCCCAAAUAUAUAUUGUUUAUGUUGAUUCAGCUUGCAAUGUGUCAUGUUAUUUGAGGGUUAAACUCUAAAACUUUGUGAAGUUACAGAACUAAUCAAAUGUAAAAAUAAAGUAGUAUGUUUAGCCAGGGCUUUGUAAUAAAGAGACUAGAUUAGAAGAGUUGUUUCAGUAGA
Bubalus bubalis (water buffalo) is the source of this 1412-nucleotide long non-coding RNA. RefSeq lists it as uncharacterized. The record is from RefSeq and is a predicted model, not a curated record. The transcript has 2 exons. NCBI's taxonomy places the organism in Eukaryota, Metazoa, Chordata, Mammalia, Artiodactyla, Bovidae.